Long non-coding RNA from Suricata suricatta (meerkat), 795 nucleotides. RefSeq lists it as uncharacterized. NCBI's taxonomy places the organism in Eukaryota, Metazoa, Chordata, Mammalia, Carnivora, Herpestidae. The record is from RefSeq and is a predicted model, not a curated record. The transcript has 3 exons.
GAACCAACUGUGGACCUGGUGUAAAACCUUACCACCAUAGAUCUUCAAUUUUGAGCUUGAUGCUACUUAUGAAUUAUGUUUUUGGACUGUCCCCUUUGGUGGUGAAGAACUGUUGUUGUGUAUAACUUCUUCGGACAAGUCCUCCGUGAUGGCUAAUUUUAUGUGUCAGCGUGGCUGGGAUAUGGUACCCAUCUGUUUGGUCAACGCUAGUCUAGUCCAGGUGUUCCUGUGCAGGAGCUCAAAGGUUUAACAACGAAGGCUGACUUUUCCUGAAGAGAAAGAAUUCUGCCUCCAGACUGCAGCAUGGACGCCUGAGUUCCCAACCUGUGGAUUUCAGGCUCAGAUUGGCAACGUCAGCUCUGCCUGGAGUUUGCAGCCUGCCAGCCGCUUAAGGAAUUGCGGACUUGCCCGCUCCCACAAUUGCACCAGCUAAUUCCUUAAUCAAUCCCCCCCCACCCCGCUUUGUCAUUACAUGUGUAUCUAUUGGUUCUGUUACUUCGGAGAGCCAUAACAUACGCACUUAGCACAAUUUGAGUUACUACAGACUAUCCACUUUGUUUUUCUAACGGUUUGGAAAACAAUUUUAAACUACAGAACUUUGACAAAUAUGCACAAUGCAUUAUAAAGCUCUUACCUGAAUUUACUAAUUUUUGCUAUAUAUAUAUAGCUUUUUCUGAAUUACUUGAAAGUAAGCGACGGACGGUAAAAUACUUCCGCAGCUAGGUGCCUCUUUUAUUCCUGAAUAUUUCUUCCUGCAUCUGCUAAGACUAUUUAUUAUUCACCAUGACAUGCCGA